UCAAUGGUGGUGGUUCUGGGCUUCAAAUCC
This 30-nucleotide transfer RNA is filed under the name Scrippsiella hangoei. RNAcentral's name for it is "partial Selenocysteine transfer RNA". Lineage: Eukaryota; Dinophyceae; Peridiniales; Peridiniaceae. The record is from RNAcentral.